Molecule: ribosomal RNA, 488 nt
Filed under: uncultured bacterium
Lineage: Bacteria
Description: bacterial SSU rRNA
Rfam family: Bacterial small subunit ribosomal RNA
Source: RNAcentral
AUUGUAACGCUGCGGCAUGCCUUACACACUGCAAGUCGAACGGCAGCACGGGAGCAAUCCUGGUGGCGAGUGGCGAACGGGUGAGUAAUAUAUCGGAACGGUGCCCAGUCGUGGGGGGAUAACGUAGCGAAAGCUACGCUAAUACCGCAUACGAUCUAUGGAUGAAAGCGGGGGAGUCGCAAGACCUCGCGCGAUUGGAGCGGCCGAUAUCAGAUUAGGUAGUUGGUGGGGUAAAAGCCUACCAAGCCUUCGAUCUGUAGCUGGCCUGAGAGGACGACCAGCCACACUGGAACUGAGACACGGUCCAGACUCCUACGGGAGGCAGCAGUGGGGAAUUUUGGACAAUGGGCGCAAGCCUGAUCCAGCAAUGCCGCGUGCAGGAUGAAGGCCUUCGGGUUGUAAACUGCUUUUGUACGGAACGAAACGGUUCUUUCUAAUACAGAGAGCUAAUGACGGUACCGUAAGAAUAAGCACCGGCUAACUACGUG